This 497-nucleotide ribosomal RNA is filed under the name uncultured bacterium. RNAcentral describes it as "partial 16S ribosomal RNA". It matches the Rfam family "Bacterial small subunit ribosomal RNA", at positions 28 to 507 of the family's 1533-position model. The record is from RNAcentral.
GAUGAACGCUGGCGGCGUGCCUAAUACAUGCAAGUCGAGCGAACAGACGAGGAGCUUGCUCCUCUGACGUUAGCGGCGGACGGGUGAGUAACACGUGGAUAACCUACCUAUAAGACUGGGAUAACUUCGGGAAACCGGAGCUAAUACCGGAUAAUAUAUUGAACCGCAUGGUUCAAUAGUGAAAGACGGUUUUGCUGUCACUUAUAGAUUGAUCCGCGCCGCAUUAGCUAGUUGGUAAGGUAACGGCUUACCAAGGCGACGAUGCGUAGCCGACCUGAGAGGGUGAUCGGCCACACUGGAAGUGAGACACGGUCCAGACUCCUACGGGAGGCAGCAGUAGGGAAUCUUCCGCAAUGGGCGAAAGCCUGACGGAGCAACGCCGCGUGAGUGAUGAAGGUCUUCGGAUCGUAAAACUCUGUUAUUAGGGAAGAACAAAUGUGUAAGUAACUAUGCACGUCUUGACGGUACCUAAUCAGAAAGCCACGGCUAACUACGUG